CAGGACGAACGCUGGCGGCGUGCUUAACACAUGCAAGUCGAGCGGUAAGGCCCUUCGGGGUACACGAGCGGCGAACGGGUGAGUAACACGUGAGCAACCUGCCCCUGACUCCGGGAUAAGCGGUGGAAACGCCGUCUAAUACCGGAUACGACCCGCCACCUCAUGGUGGAGGGUGGAAAGUUUUUCGGUCAGGGAUGGGCUCGCGGCCUAUCAGCUUGUUGGUGGGGUAACGGCCUACCAAGGCGAUUACGGGUAGCCGGCCUGAGAGGGCGACCGGCCACACUGGGACUGAGACACGGCCCAGACUCCUGCGGGAGGCAGCAGUGGGGAAUAUUGCGCAAUGGGCGAAAGCCUGACGCAGCGACGCCGCGUGGGGGAUGACGGCCUUCGGGUUGUAAACCUCUUUUACCACCAACGCAGGCUCGAAGUUCUCUUCGGGUUGACGGUAGGUGGGGAAUAAGGACCGGCUAACUACGUGCCAGCAGCCGCGGUAAUACGUAGGGUCCGAGCGUUGUCCGGAAUUAUUGGGCGUAAAGAGCUCGUAGGCGGCGUGUCGCGUCUGCUGUGAAAGACCGGGGCUUAACUCCGGUUCUGCAGUGGAUACGGGCAUGCUAGAGGUAGGUAGGGGAGACUGGAAUUCCUGGUGUAGCGGUGAAAUGCGCAGAUAUCAGGAGGAACACCGGUGGCGAAGGCGGGUCUCUGGGCCUUACCUGACGCUGAGGAGCGAAAGCAUGGGGAGCGAACAGGAUUAGAUACCCUGGUAGUCCAUGCCGUANACGUUGGGCGCUAGGUGUGGGGACUUUCCACGGUUUCCGCGCCGUAGCUAACGCAUUAAGCGCCCCGCCUGGGGAGUACGGCCGCAAGGCU
Molecule: ribosomal RNA, 867 nt
Filed under: Nocardiopsis sp. Sp080513IM-05
Lineage: Bacteria; Bacillati; Actinomycetota; Actinomycetes; Streptosporangiales; Nocardiopsidaceae
Description: bacterial SSU rRNA
Rfam family: Bacterial small subunit ribosomal RNA
Source: RNAcentral